This 200-nucleotide ribosomal RNA is filed under the name uncultured bacterium. Its description in RNAcentral is "partial 16S ribosomal RNA". It matches the Rfam family "Bacterial small subunit ribosomal RNA", at positions 30 to 255 of the family's 1533-position model. The record is from RNAcentral.
AUUGAACGCUGGCGGCAGGCCUAACACAUGCAAGUCGAACGAAGUCUUCGGACUUAGUGGCGGACGGGUGAGUAACGCGUGGGAACGUACCUUUUGGUUCGGAACAACUCAGGGAAACUUGAGCUAAUACCGAAUGUGCCCUUCGGGGGGAAGGAUUUAUCGCCAUUAGAGCGGCCCGCGUUAGAUUAGCUAGUUGGUGG